This 67-nucleotide transfer RNA is filed under the name Sarcophaga josephi. Its description in RNAcentral is "tRNA-Glu". Lineage: Eukaryota; Metazoa; Arthropoda; Insecta; Diptera; Sarcophagidae. The record is from RNAcentral.
AAUUUAUAUAGUUUAAUAAAAACAUUACAUUUUCAUUGUAAAAUUAAAAAAAUUCUUUUUAUAAAUU